This is a long non-coding RNA of Leopardus geoffroyi (Geoffroy's cat), 145 nucleotides long. RefSeq lists it as uncharacterized. The transcript has 2 exons. The record is from RefSeq and is a predicted model, not a curated record. Lineage: Eukaryota; Metazoa; Chordata; Mammalia; Carnivora; Felidae.
CCCAGGUACAGGGGGCACGUGGCACGCCCCUCGGUGGACCAGGAGACGUAUGUCCUAUUACAGAUUUGGCUUUUGAUGUCCUAUGUACCAACUCUUGGCCUAACUUCAGUUACCACAGAAUUCUCCAAGAAACAGCAAUGCUAUU